GUAGGAGUGAGCCUGCUCGCGAUAGCGGUCCGUCAGUCAGCAUUUCAAUACCUGACCCACCGCUAUCGCGAGCAGGCUCACUCCUAC
This 87-nucleotide non-coding RNA is filed under the name Pseudomonas sp. 29. Lineage: Bacteria; Pseudomonadati; Pseudomonadota; Gammaproteobacteria; Pseudomonadales; Pseudomonadaceae. The record is from RNAcentral.